UUCAGAAGAACCACAGUCAUUGCUAUCCGUAACAUACUCCUCGUCUAAAUCCUCACCGUCAACGUCCAUGUCUUCCAUUGGUCUAGCAAGUGUAGCAGUGGUGAUACGAGAGGUGGGUCAUCCUGCACAAAGUCUAACUGCCCAGAUCCACCGCCAUCGAUAUCACUGACCUCCGCAGAAAGCUCCAUCACUUGUUCCACCAUGAUUAUCC
Molecule: long non-coding RNA, 211 nt
Filed under: Arachis ipaensis
Lineage: Eukaryota; Viridiplantae; Streptophyta; Magnoliopsida; Fabales; Fabaceae
Description: long non-coding RNA (AIPA_LNC000528)
Source: RNAcentral